GACGAACGCUGGCGGCGUGCUUAACACAUGCAAGUCGAACGGAAAGGCCCUUCGGGGUCCUCGAGUGGCGAACGGGUGAGUAACACGUGGGUGAUCUGCCCUGCACUUUGGGAUAAGCCUGGGAAACUGGGUCUAAUACCGAAUAGGACCACGCGCUUCAUGGUGUGUGGUGGAAAGCUUUUGCGGUGUGGGAUGGGCCCGCGGCCUAUCAGCUUGUUGGUGGGGUAAUGGCCUACCAAGGCGACGACGGGUAGCCGGCCUGAGAGGGUGACCGGCCACACUGGGACUGAGAUACGGCCCAGACUCCUGCGGGAGGCAGCAGUGGGGAAUAUUGCACAAUGGGCGCAAGCCUGAUGCAGCGACGCCGCGUGAGGGAUGACGGCCUUCGGGUUGUAAACCUCUUUCAAUAGGGACGAAGCGCAAGUGACGGUACCUAUAGAAGAAGCACCGGCCAACUACGUG
RNAcentral lists this ribosomal RNA (462 nucleotides) under uncultured bacterium. RNAcentral describes it as "partial 16S ribosomal RNA". It matches the Rfam family "Bacterial small subunit ribosomal RNA", at positions 28 to 507 of the family's 1533-position model. The record is from RNAcentral.